GUGUGUUGGUGUGUUGGUGUGUGUUGGUGUGUUGGUGUGUGUUGGUGUGUUGGUGUGUGUUGGUGUGUGGGCAUUGAACAGGGAGCACACACUGGCUGACAGCUGCAGAUUCAGGAGGUUUUCACAGCAGCAGGAAGGAGAGUUUGGCUAAAGAGGCCGAGCUCUUCGCUGGAAUCUCUGGAAAAUUGAUCUGCCCCUUGUUUUCCUGCCUGACAGUCGACCGUGUGGGCACAGUGAUCCAGAAGGCGGUCACCACGGCAACAAGGCUGAAGGAAACAGAGAGCGGGAAGAAGAAGAAGAGGAGGAGGAGGAGGAGGAAGAACAGCAAACAGGGAUGAUCCAUCACUGCCAGAACCUCACAGAAAAUUGAUUAAUUUGAAGAACCUUCAGGUCUGAGCAGACUGAUGUUCAGCUUCUUCAGGGAUGGACCAACAUGGAGGAGGCUGGGUCAUGGUAUGGGCUUGGAUGUGAAAGGAUUUAGGACCCAGGAAAGAGACGAUGAUGCUGGACUGGAAGAGCCAACGAUGGCUUCCAGAAACUCCUGCAAGCUUCCAGCUUUGUGUUCCACUCAUGGAGCCAGUCUAGAAGAAGGAACGUUUUUGUGAAACAGCAGGACUAGACUGGAGCCUUAGUCACGGCUCCAUCUUCAUGGAUCCCAGCUUCCUGAAGAAGCUCCCUAACUGGGACCAUGGCAGGUGGAGCUGAAGGAGGAGCGACUGUCAGCAGCUCCAGUUUCACUCCUUUGAUCCGAGCGUCUCAGCUUCACACACAUUACAGCGACGCCACAGACCUGCAGGGACGGCUUAAAAAAGCCAGAGUGUCUCUGAGGUCAGACCAGGAUGGAAA
Molecule: long non-coding RNA, 846 nt
Organism: Cyprinodon variegatus (sheepshead minnow)
Lineage: Eukaryota; Metazoa; Chordata; Actinopteri; Cyprinodontiformes; Cyprinodontidae
Exons: 3
Source: RefSeq, a predicted model, not a curated record